RNAcentral lists this transfer RNA (76 nucleotides) under Caulobacter virus Karma. RNAcentral's name for it is "tRNA-Val". It matches the Rfam family "tRNA". From Rfam's summary of the family: Transfer RNA (tRNA) molecules are approximately 80 nucleotides in length. Their secondary structure includes four short double-helical elements and three loops (D, anti-codon, and T loops). Lineage: Duplodnaviria; Heunggongvirae; Uroviricota; Caudoviricetes; Jeanschmidtviridae. RNAcentral also lists the same sequence under 5 other names. The record is from RNAcentral.
GCCCGAUGAGCCAGAUGGGAAGGCGCCGCCGUGACAUGGCGGGAUUGAGAAGGUUCGAUUCCUUCAUCAGGCACCA